UUUGACUCAACCACGGGGAAAACUUACCCAGGUCCAGGACCUUUGGGAGGAUGGACAGAUUGAGAGCUCUUUCUUGAUUACAGUGAGUGGUNGGUGCAUGGCCGUUCUUAGUUGGUGGAGUGAUUUGUCUGGUUAAUUCCGAUAACGAACGAGACCUCAUCCUGCUAAAUAUGUGGAUUUGAUAUUGGCUUAAUACACCAAUAUGGAAUAUUACUAGCUUCUUAGAGGGACAAUUCGCCUCGAGCGGGUGGAAGUGAGGCAAUAACAGGUCUGUGAUGCCCUUCAGAUGUCCCGGGCCGCACGCGCGCUACACUGACGAAAUCAAUGGGUAAACAAUUUNUAACAAGCCUGACUCGAAGGAGUUGGGGAAACCUUUGAAACUUCGUCGUGAUGGGGAUAGAUCCAUUGUAAUUAUUGGUCUUCAACGAGGAAUUUCCCUAGUAAAGCGUAAGUCAU
RNAcentral lists this ribosomal RNA (456 nucleotides) under uncultured eukaryote. RNAcentral describes it as "bacterial SSU rRNA". It matches the Rfam family "Eukaryotic small subunit ribosomal RNA", at positions 1194 to 1631 of the family's 1831-position model. The record is from RNAcentral.